GAUGAACGCUGGCGGCGUGCCUAAUACAUGCAAGUCGAGCGAACAGACGAGGAGCUUGCUCCUCUGACGUUAGCGGCGGACGGGUGAGUAACACGUGGAUAACCUACAUAUAAGACUGGGAUAACUUCGGGAAACCGGAGCUAAUACCGGAUAAUAUAUUGAACCGCAUGGUUCAAUAGUGAAAGACGGUUUUGCUGUCACUUAUAGAUGGAUCCGCACCGCAUUAGCUAGUUGGUAAGGUAACGGCUUACCAAGGCAACGAUGCGUAGCCGACCUGAGAGGGUGAUCGGCCACACUGGAACUGAGACACGGUCCAGACUCCUACGGGAGGCAGCAGUAGGGAAUCUUCCGCAAUGGGCGAAAGCCUGACGGAGCAACGCCGCGUGAGUGAUGAAGGUCUUCGGAUCGUAAAACUCUGUUAUUAGGGAAGAACAAAUGUGUAAGUAACUAUGCACGUCUUGACGGUACCUAAUCAGAAAGCCACGGCUAACUACGUG
RNAcentral lists this ribosomal RNA (497 nucleotides) under uncultured bacterium. RNAcentral's name for it is "partial 16S ribosomal RNA". It matches the Rfam family "Bacterial small subunit ribosomal RNA", at positions 28 to 507 of the family's 1533-position model. The record is from RNAcentral.